Molecule: ribosomal RNA, 1302 nt
Filed under: Triticum aestivum (bread wheat)
Lineage: Eukaryota; Viridiplantae; Streptophyta; Magnoliopsida; Poales; Poaceae
Description: partial small subunit ribosomal RNA
Source: RNAcentral
AUGUCGUCGUUCGCCGGCGUAUCCGUCCUCGCCGACGGCGGGCUGUGCCCCGCGACCGAGUCGUUCGUCGACACCGGCACGGACUGCGGGUACCACCUGCUGGUGGUCCAGGACUACCGGCGCACCAAGCAGGAGGCACCCACCGGCGACAGCAUCACCUCCCGCCCAUUCACCGUCGGAGGCCACGACUGGUACCUCCACUACUACCCCAACGGCGAGAACCUGAGCUGCGCCAACUACGUCUCCCUCAGCGUUUCCCGCCUGUACGACGACGAGGGGGCCGACGAGGUCGUGGACACCAAGUUCGGGUUCAGUUUCGUCGACCAGGUCGAGAAGCAGAAUCCAGUGUACAUCCGUGGAACCGAAACGUGCAGCUUCCCCUUACCCGGUUCUUCGUGGAGCUGCGACAAGUUCGUCAGGAGACACGCCCUCGAACGAUCGGCAAAUCUAAGGGGCGACUGCUUCACCAUCCGGUGCGACAUCAUGGUUGUCCACGACACCAAGGGCGGCGAUGGCGAGGCGCUCCUGCCUGACAUACACCGGCAUUUCGGCGAUCUCUUUCAAACCAAUUUGGGUGCUGAUGUGACAUUCGAGGUCUGUGGUGAGAUGAUUGCUGCACACAGAUGCGUGCUUGCUGCCCGGUCUAAAGUCUUCAGGGCACAGCUCUUUGGCCCCAUGAAGGAGGGCAGUGCUACUACUACAUCCAGUGUCAUACAGAUCAAAGACAUGGAAGCAAACAUAUUCAGAGCCUUGCUUAGCUUUGUCUACACAGACUCAUUCCCCGCGAUGCAUGAGGACAGCAUGGAGGAGGAUGAAACGUCACACCUUGUGGAACAUGGACAAGGAGAGGAAGCUCUAGAAGACAAAAUGUCAGAAGCUGCGGAACAAGGACAAGGAGAGGAAGCAAUAGAGGACAAAAUGUCAGAAGUUGCGGAACAAGGACAAGGAGAGGAAGCAGUAGAGGAUGAAACACGCGUGCAAUGGCUGCAGGACUUGUUUGUAGCGGCAGACAGAUAUGAUCUCCAACGGCUCAAGUUCAUCUGCGAAAAACAGCUAUCUGAGCUCAUAGGUGUCAGCUCAGUGGCGUCCACCCUUGCUCUAGCUGAGCGGCACCACUGCCGCGGAUUGAAAGAGGCGUGCAUUAAGUUUAUCCAAGUCCAGUCUCCCUCAUGUUUGCAAACAAUAAUGGCGACCGAUGGCUGGGAGCAUAUAAUCACGACCUAUCCCUCUGUUUUGAACGAGCUCAUUGCCGAGGUUAUUGCUUUGAACCAGCAGACUUUAUCACUCUUUACUAAGAUCUGA